RNAcentral lists this ribosomal RNA (425 nucleotides) under uncultured bacterium. RNAcentral's name for it is "partial 16S ribosomal RNA". It matches the Rfam family "Bacterial small subunit ribosomal RNA", at positions 354 to 796 of the family's 1533-position model. The record is from RNAcentral.
GUGGGGAAUAUUGGACAAUGGGGGCAACCCUGAUCUAGCCAUGCCGCGUGAGUGAUGAAGGCCUUAGGGUCGUAAAGCUCUUUCGCUGGGGAAGAUAAUGACGGUACCCAGUAAAGAAACCCCGGCUAACUCCGUGCCAGCAGCCGCGGUAAUACGGAGGGGGUUAGCGUUGUUCGGAAUUACUGGGCGUAAAGCGCGCGUAGGCGGAUUGGAAAGUUGGGGGUGAAAUCCCGGGGCUCAACCCUGGAAUGGCCUUCAAAACUCCCAGUCUUGAGGUCGAGAGAGGUGAGUGGAAUUCCGAGUGUAGAGGUGAAAUUCGUAGAUAUUCGGAGGAACACCAGUGGCGAAGGCGGCUCACUGGCUCGAUACUGACGCUGAGGUGCGAAAGCGUGGGGAGCAAACAGGAUUAGAAACCCGUGUAGUCC